RNAcentral lists this unclassified non-coding RNA (52 nucleotides) under Pedobacter terrae. RNAcentral describes it as "Flavo-1 RNA". The record is from RNAcentral. Lineage: Bacteria; Pseudomonadati; Bacteroidota; Sphingobacteriia; Sphingobacteriales; Sphingobacteriaceae.
AUAUAGCCCUGAUCGAAGCGUACACGAAGUAAAGCGAAGAGCAGGAAUUACU